RNAcentral lists this ribosomal RNA (838 nucleotides) under uncultured bacterium. Its description in RNAcentral is "bacterial SSU rRNA". It matches the Rfam family "Bacterial small subunit ribosomal RNA", at positions 58 to 922 of the family's 1533-position model. The record is from RNAcentral.
CAAGUCGUACGGGUGUAGCAAUACACCAGUGGCGGACGGGUGAGUAAUGAAUCGCUAAUGUACCCCAGAGUCUGGGAUAGCUGCCCGAAAGGGCAGGUAAUACCAGAUGAUAUAUCCGGUUGGCAUCAACUGGAUCUCAAAGGGCAAUCGCUCUGGGAGCAGGCGAUUUCGUAUCAGCUUGUUGGUGAGGUAACGGCUCACCAAGGCGACGACGCGUAGCUGGUCUGAGAGGACGGCCAGCCACAUUGGGACUGAGACACUGCCCAGACUCCUACGGGGGGCUGCAGUAACGAAUCUUCCGCAAUGCACGCAAGUGUGACGGAGCGACGCCGCGUGUGGGACGAAGUCCUUCGGGAUGUAAACCACUGUCAGGGGUUACCAAGUUCUGAGGAGCCCCAGAGGAAGAGACGGCUAACUCUGUGCCAGCAGCCGCGGUAAUACAGAGGUCUCGAGCGUUAGGCGGAAUCACUGGGCUUAAAGCGUGUGUAGGUGGAUGCCUAAGUACCUUGUGAAAUCCCACAGCUUAACUGUGGAACUGCUUGGUAUACUGGGUGUCUUGAGUCACUCAGGGGCGAGCGGAACAAAUGGUGGAGCGGUGAAAUGCGUAGAUAUCAUUUGGAACGCCAAUGGUGAAAACAGCUCGCUGGGGGUGCACUGACACUGAGACACGAAAGCCAGGGGAGCGAACGGGAUUAGAUACCCCGGUAGUCCUGGCCGUAAACGAUGUCGACUAGAUCGUGGUGGCUCUGACGUCAUCACGGUCGAAGCAAAAGUGCUAAGUCGACCGCCUGGGAAGUACGGUCGCAAGGCUAAAACUCAAAGGAAUUGACGGGGGCUC